CCAAAGAUCACGCAGCUUAUAAAUAGUGAAACGGGGGUUCGCACGCGAGAUUUCCUCAUCCAGAGUCUGUAAUUCUAACUGCUCUAACGUUUCUCAGCCGUGUGUCCUCAGGUAGACUACAUGACGCUUCUGGGCCUCUGCUCCACUUUGCUGCAAACUCCAAAUUAUUGGCGCGGUGACCCCCACCGAAGGAUCUGAAGCUACUCGCGCGGCUGGGAAGCAUUCUGGGAUCAGUUAGCCAGGUCUGCCAUGAGCGCAAUUACGAGAAGCAACUCGUCAUGUCUGCCAUCCCUGCCUCAAAAUACGGCUGGUAAUACUCAUCCUGCCCCACGGACAUCUUCUGGGAGCCAGGCACCGGGUGGAGAAAGCGACGGUCAGAGGGACCUGUGAUUUGCCUGGGGAUGACACGGAGCCGUGGAAGCGAUGGAGUUUGACUACUGAUCUGAUUACUCCAGACAGAGCCCCCAGGGCCACCCCAAAUGUCCUCAGCUUGGACGCGGUUAAAAGGUUCCAGACUGUCGGAGAAUGCCAUCAAACUCAGCGAGAGAGCCUAAUUUGACCAAUCAAGGCCUGCCCUCGAGAGAACCAAUUGCAGGAGGAUGCCCUCGAGAUUGAACCAAUGAGAGAGCGCGCAGCAGAGAGCACUGCCACGCUGAUGGAGAGAACAGGCCAAUCAUCGCGGCCCGCGCAAUCUGGGCGGUGGCGUUGCAGGUCCCCGGGUGGCCCCUCUUGAGUUUGCCGGGGCGACCUGGCUGUCGAACCUAGGGACCCCGAGCGGUGGCUGGCUCCCCGCCUGGUGUCCCUCCCGGCUCCUGUCGGAUUGCAAAUUGUGCCUGUGCCGUGAGCGGAGCUACUCCUGGGCGCAAAGACCCGGUUGCGGUUUCCAUGGAAACUGCUGGCUCUGGCUGCAGCGAAGGGGACUGGGCCCUGGGGGACUUGGGGAGCUCGCGUGGGUGGCCCCAACGGCCGGACUUGCUCAUCCUCGCCGAUACCUCUGUCCCUGGUUAGAAUAAACCCGGAUCCAAAGUGUAAAAUGAAGCCUAGCUGCGGCCCCGCCCCCACGAGCUGGUGAGGCGCCUAAGGGGCCAAUCUGCGCGUGGCGCCACAGGGCUCCCUCGGGCACGUGCUUUGGCUCGCGGCUGCGGUCCCCGGGGUCACGUGGCUGCGGCCACCAGGGCCCACGCAGCUUGCGCGCCACCUGGCGGCCGCCGGCCUGGUAUCGCUCCCGCCUCUUGCUGGCAGCCAGCAGGAGGAGGCGGCGACCUCAGGCAUCCUCCUCCGGGAAAUGGGGCCAGGGCAGCCUCCCCGCCGCUGCCAGCUCCCCUCCCCAACGAGGCUUCCUGUUCCAGGAACACGCCGAGCCGUUCUACCUUGGGGCUUUGGCACUGGCUGUUCCUUCGGCCUGGGAUUUGCCUCCUCCAGCUCUCUUCAGGGAUGGAACCUCUUUGUCAUUCUGGACUAUGCUCAAAGGCCACCAUCUCAGGGAGGUCCUCUCUGACCACCGACUUAAACAGCGCCUCCAGAAACUAACAUAUCACCCUAUCUCCUGCACGGCACUUGUCAACAGCUGUAGAUGUCUUACAUAGGUGUUUACUGAACAUCUCCCCAACCGGUCCCUGAGCUCUCUGAGGGUGGGGAAUUAGUAUUCCAUGAGGGAUUAGGAGUGGGCAUCAAGAUCCUGAGUCCCAGGAGAUGUCCGGUGGCCUCCUGUUUCCCAACCUCCCACCCUCUGACCCCGUGAGACGGAGUGUUCGGGGUUUCCAGGCCCAGAUAGCCGAGGCAGUG
Felis catus (domestic cat) is the source of this 1785-nucleotide long non-coding RNA. RefSeq lists it as uncharacterized. The record is from RefSeq and is a predicted model, not a curated record. The transcript has 3 exons. Lineage: Eukaryota; Metazoa; Chordata; Mammalia; Carnivora; Felidae.